Molecule: ribosomal RNA, 1393 nt
Filed under: uncultured bacterium
Lineage: Bacteria
Description: bacterial SSU rRNA
Rfam family: Bacterial small subunit ribosomal RNA
Source: RNAcentral
AGGGUUUGAUCAUGGCUCAGAUUGAACGCUGGCGGCAGGCUUAACACAUGCAAGUCGAGCGGAGAUGAGGUGCUUGCACCUUAUCUUAGCGGCGGACGGGUGAGUAAUGCUUAGGAAUCUGCCUAUUAGUGGGGGACAACAUUCCGAAAGGAAUGCUAAUACCGCAUACGCCCUACGGGGGAAAGCAGGGGAUCUUCGGACCUUGCGCUAAUAGAUGAGCCUAAGUCGGAUUAGCUAGUUGGUGGGGUAAAGGCCUACCAAGGCGACGAUCUGUAGCGGGUCUGAGAGGAUGAUCCGCCACACUGGGACUGAGACACGGCCCAGACUCCUACGGGAGGCAGCAGUGGGGAAUAUUGGACAAUGGGCGGAAGCCUGAUCCAGCCAUGCCGCGUGUGUGAAGAAGGCCUUUUGGUUGUAAAGCACUUUAAGCGAGGAGGAGGCUACUUAGAUUAAUACUCUAGGAUAGUGGACGUUACUCGCAGAAUAAGCACCGGCUAACUCUGUGCCAGCAGCCGCGGUAAUACAGAGGGUGCGAGCGUUAAUCGGAUUUACUGGGCGUAAAGCGUGCGUAGGCGGCUGAUUAAGUCGGAUGUGAAAUCCCUGAGCUUAACUUAGGAAUUGCAUUCGAUACUGGUCAGCUAGAGUAUGGGAGAGGAUGGUAGAAUUCCAGGUGUAGCGGUGAAAUGCGUAGAGAUCUGGAGGAAUACCGAUGGCGAAGGCAGCCAUCUGGCCUAAUACUGACGCUGAGGUACGAAAGCAUGGGGAGCAAACAGGAUUAGAUACCCUGGUAGUCCAUGCCGUAAACGAUGUCUACUAGCCGUUGGGGCCUUUGAGGCUUUAGUGGCGCAGCUAACGCGAUAAGUAGACCGCCUGGGGAGUACGGUCGCAAGACUAAAACUCAAAUGAAUUGACGGGGGCCCGCACAAGCGGUGGAGCAUGUGGUUUAAUUCGAUGCAACGCGAAGAACCUUACCUGGCCUUGACAUAGUAAGAACUUUCCAGAGAUGGAUUGGUGCCUUCGGGAACUUACAUACAGGUGCUGCAUGGCUGUCGUCAGCUCGUGUCGUGAGAUGUUGGGUUAAGUCCCGCAACGAGCGCAACCCUUUUCCUUAUUUGCCAGCGAGUAAUGUCGGGAACUUUAAGGAUACUGCCAGUGACAAACUGGAGGAAGGCGGGGACGACGUCAAGUCAUCAUGGCCCUUACGGCCAGGGCUACACACGUGCUACAAUGGUCGGUACAAAGGGUUGCUACCUAGCGAUAGGAUGCUAAUCUCAAAAAGCCGAUCGUAGUCCGGAUUGGAGUCUGCAACUCGACUCCAUGAAGUCGGAAUCGCUAGUAAUCGCGGAUCAGAAUGCCGCGGUGAAUACGUUCCCGGGCCUUGUACACACCGCCC